UGGUUUCAUUACCACGAGG
Molecule: unclassified non-coding RNA, 19 nt
Filed under: Mus musculus (house mouse)
Lineage: Eukaryota; Metazoa; Chordata; Mammalia; Rodentia; Muridae
Description: oocyte_clustered_small_RNA989
Source: RNAcentral